RNAcentral lists this ribosomal RNA (39 nucleotides) under Pyricularia oryzae. RNAcentral describes it as "partial 28S ribosomal RNA". The record is from RNAcentral. Lineage: Eukaryota; Fungi; Ascomycota; Sordariomycetes; Magnaporthales; Pyriculariaceae.
AUACCCGCUGAACUUAAGCAUAUCAAUAAGCGGAGGAAG